RNAcentral lists this microRNA (23 nucleotides) under Scyliorhinus torazame (cloudy catshark). RNAcentral describes it as "Sto-Mir-29-P1b_5p* (star (passenger))". Lineage: Eukaryota; Metazoa; Chordata; Chondrichthyes; Carcharhiniformes; Scyliorhinidae. The record is from RNAcentral.
CUGGUUCCAUAUGGUGGUUUAGA